CGCCCUUCGGGUGAGCGGCGGACGGGUAAGUAACGCGUGGGAACGUGCCCUUCUCUACGGAAUAGCCUCUGGAAACGGAGAGUAAUACCGUAUACGCCCUUUGGGGGAAAGAUUUAUCGGAGAAGGAUCGGCCCGCGUUAGAUUAGGUAGUUGGUGGGGUAACGGCCUACCAAGCCUACGAUCUAUAGCUGGUUUUAGAGGAUGAUCAGCAACACUGGGACUGAGACACGGCCCAGACUCCUACGGGAGGCAGCAGUGGGGAAUCUUAGACAAUGGGGGCAACCCUGAUCUAGCCAUGCCGCGUGAGUGAUGAAGGCCUUACGGUCGUAAAGCUCUUUCGCCUGUGAUGAUAAUGACAGUAGCAGGUAAAGAAACCCCGGAUAACUCCGUGCCAGCAGCCGCGGUAAUACGGAGGGGGUUAGCGUUGUUCGGAAUUACUGGGCGUCAAGCGCGCGUAAGCGGAUUAGAAAGUUGGGGGUGAAAUCCCGGGGCUCAACCCCGGAACUGCCUCCAAAACUGCUAGUCUAGAGUUCGAGAGAGGUGAGUGGAAUUCCGAGUGUAGAGGUGAAAUUCGUAGAUCUUCGGAGGAACACCAGUGGCGAAGGCGGCUCCAUGGCUCGAUACUGACGCACAGGUGCGAAAGUGUGGGGAGCAAACAGGAUUUGAUACACUGGGUGGUCCACACCCGGAACCGAUUAAUUGCACUUCGCGGGAUAGAAACAAUACGGUGACCAC
RNAcentral lists this ribosomal RNA (735 nucleotides) under uncultured Alphaproteobacteria bacterium. RNAcentral's name for it is "bacterial SSU rRNA". It matches the Rfam family "Bacterial small subunit ribosomal RNA", at positions 81 to 858 of the family's 1533-position model. The record is from RNAcentral. Lineage: Bacteria; Pseudomonadati; Pseudomonadota; Alphaproteobacteria.